This is a non-coding RNA of Delphinapterus leucas (beluga whale), 1363 nucleotides long. Lineage: Eukaryota; Metazoa; Chordata; Mammalia; Artiodactyla; Monodontidae. The record is from RefSeq and is a predicted model, not a curated record.
GGCCCACGUACUGCAAAAAAAAAAAAAGAGUUACUGGACCAGAAUUUUCCUCUCCAGGAGAUUGGUUUCAUUCAAGGACCUGACUGCAGACUUCACCCAGGAGGAGUGGCGGCACCUGGACCGUGCUCAGAGGCUCCUAUAGAGGGAUGUGAUGCUGGAGAACAACUGCAUCUCAGUGGGGUAUCAACGUUAGCAAACCAGAUGUGAUCUUCAGACUGGAGCAAGGAGAAGAACCAUGGACAGUAGAGGAAUUCUCAAGUCAGAACUACUCAGGAAGGGGGCGCUGAGACUUAUGGGAAACGGAGUCCCGAAUUUGAAGGAUUACCGGGAGGAGAGCGCAGGGAACUGGCCCCUCACGGCUCCUUCUGCGCAUGUGCAGUUCUCCUCAUUGUUCGCCCGCUCCCUGGUCUCCAGCUUCGCGCGGCAGGUAAUUCCGGAGCCUUCGGGUCUACGCAUUGCUCAGUGAGGGGUCCUGCACGAAGGAUGUGCGCUACAGGUGAGAACCUAGUUUGGAGGGGGGUUUUGCUGAGCUUGGGGUAGGUUUUAUGCCCACACCUGGUGGAAGCAAAAACUUGCGCGAAUCCCACGCAGGCUGAGACCCUAUAUAGCACUUGUUCCUGAGUCUGGUCUGCAUUUGCCGCUAAAGAAAGCCAAGUGACAGAGCAGCUUGGCUACGGACCUACAGGUUCCACGAAGAGGCUAAGGGAGAAGCGCGGGUUACUAGGUCAGAAUGAAGUGCGCUGAGAAAAAGCAUCCUAAUGGUAACGAGCUGUUUCCAGAAGCUCCUCGAAUUUGCAUGUGCCCUGGCCAACCAUUCAUUAUCGAGUCAAAUCCAGGACACUGGCGGGGGUGAGAAUAAAUUCUGAUAACAUUUAUUAUGUGCAGGCUGAUUUAAGAGCCUGAAUUUGAACUAAGACAAGUUCAAAUUCUAGCCUGGCCACUGAGUCUCCAUGGACAAAAUGAUGAGCCUCUAAGUCUCAGUUUCCCCAUCUGCCAAAGGAAGUUAUUCUAAAAACCUGUCUCAAAGUCGUUUUGAGGAUUGAAUUAAGAUAACCUGUAAACACUCAGCAGCGGUCCUGGCAUUCACUAAGCACCCGGGAAAUGUUAAUUGCCUUUAUCACUGUUGUUUUCCUUAAGAUCGUUAUUGGUUCUCAAAGACCCCCUGGAAAGUCAGUAUUACCCAUCCCAUUUUAACUGACAAGAAAACCAAGACUCUGGAGGGGAAGUCUCCAGGCCAGUAAUUGAAGGAGCUGGGAUUACAAACCUCAAACAGUUUUAUUUCCAAAUCCCAUGCUGGGUUUUGUCUAGCAGCACAUCCUUCACAGGACUAAGCAGAGUGGCAUGUCCCUAAGAGCCACAGGGA